This 488-nucleotide ribosomal RNA is filed under the name uncultured bacterium. RNAcentral describes it as "bacterial SSU rRNA". It matches the Rfam family "Bacterial small subunit ribosomal RNA", at positions 12 to 524 of the family's 1533-position model. The record is from RNAcentral.
UUUGAUCCUGGCUCAGGAUGAACGCUGACAGAAUGCUUAACACAUGCAAGUCGACUCGAGUCUUCGGACUUGGGUGGCGCACGGGUGAGUAACGCGUAAAGAACUUGCCUCUUAGACCGGGACAACAUCUGGAAACGGAUGCUAAUACCGGAUAUUAUGGUUUUUUCGCAUGGAGGAAUCAUGAAAGCUAGAUGCGCUAAGAGAGAGCUUUGCGUCCCAUUAGCUGUUGGUGAGGUAACGGCCCACCAAGGCAAUGAUGGGUAGCCGGCCUGAGAGGGUGAACGGCCACAAGGGGACUGAGACACGGCCCUUACUCCUACGGGAGGCAGCAGUGGGGAAUAUUGGACAAUGGACCACAAGUCUGAUCCAGCAAUUCUGUGUGCACGAUGACGUUUUUCGGAAUGUAAAGUGCUUUCAGUCGGGAAGAAGUCAGUGACGGUACCGACAGAAGAAGCGACGGCUAAAUACGUGCCAGCAGCCGCGGUAAU